AUUGAACGCUGGCGGCAGGCCUAACACAUGCAAGUCGAACGAGUGGCGGACGGGUGAGUCAUGUCUGGGAAACUGCCUGAUGGAGGGGGGUGACUACUGGAAACGGUAGCUAAUACCGCAUACCCUCAGAUGUGCCCAGAUGGGAUUAGCUUGUUGGUGGGGUAAAGGCUCACCAAGGAGACGAUCCCUAGCUGGUCUGAGAGGAUGACCAGCCAAACGUGAACUUAGAUAGGGUCCAGUGGCCUACGUGAGGAAGCAGUGGGGAAUAUUGGACAAUUGGCGCAAGCCUGAUGCAGCCAUGCCGCGUGUAUGAAGAAGGCCUUCGGGUUGUAAAGUACUUUCAGCGGGGAGGCGUUACCCGCAGAAGAAGCACCGGCUAACUCCGUGCCAGCCGCCGCGGUAAUUC
This 406-nucleotide ribosomal RNA is filed under the name uncultured bacterium. RNAcentral describes it as "partial 16S ribosomal RNA". It matches the Rfam family "Bacterial small subunit ribosomal RNA", at positions 30 to 526 of the family's 1533-position model. The record is from RNAcentral.